Molecule: ribosomal RNA, 496 nt
Filed under: uncultured bacterium
Lineage: Bacteria
Description: bacterial SSU rRNA
Rfam family: Bacterial small subunit ribosomal RNA
Source: RNAcentral
GAUCAUGGCUCAGAUUGAACGCUGGCGGCAUGCCUUACACAUGCAAGUCGAACGGCAGCGGGCCUUCGGGUGCCGGCGAGUGGCGAACGGGUGAGUAAUGCAUCGGAACGUGCCAUUGAGUGGGGGAUAACGUAGCGAAAGUUGCGCUAAUACCGCAUAUUCUGUGAGCAGGAAAGCAGGGGACCGCAAGGCCUUGCGCUCUUUGAGCGGCCGAUGUCAGAUUAGCUAGUUGGUGAGGUAAAGGCUUACCAAGGCGACGAUCUGUAGCGGGGUCUGAGAGGAUGAUCCGCCACACUGGAACUGAGACACGGUCCAGACUCCUACGGGAGGCAGCAGUGGGGAAUUUUGGACAAUGGGGGCAACCCUGAUCCAGCCAUGCCGCGUGAGUGAAGAAGGCCUUCGGGUUGUAAAGCUCUUUCGGCCGGGAAGAAAUCGCAUGGGUGAAUACCCUGUGUGGAUGACGGUACCGGAACAAGAAGCACCGGCUAACUACGUG